GGCAUCACAUCCACCUGCCUCUGACUCUCCUACUGAAUGACCAGGUCCCCACUGCCAACUGGGAGCAGGCUGUGGCAUGAAACCAGAGUGGGGCUCAAACUCCUGGAUCAAAUGGCCCCAUUAGGUGCAGCAUAAGGAAAAGACAGUUUCCCAGAGUGCCUUCUCCUUUAAACUGCAUAGAGCGAAGCGGCUCCAGCUCCUAUUAGAGCUAUUUUGUACCUGGCCAUCCCUUCCUCCUUUCUAAGCUGAAGUGGCUGCAAGUGAAGGUAACCUGACUUGUACAGAGCCCAUGCUUGAGACUGUUAACCGGCAAUCAACUCAGCACAUGCACUUAGAUGCUGCAAGGCAUUCGGCACCCUCUAGCUGAAUUCCCAUGAAGCCACCCUCCUCCGCCAGCUCUUCUGGAACAAGUAUCCUAGAGCCUGCUUGUGCUGCCAACAAAAGAACCAGCGGGUUUUUUUGGGUUUUUUUGUUUUGUUUUUUUUUCAGACGGGAUACAAACAUCCCAUGAACAAUAAACCACCUUCAGUCUUCCCCCCCCCCCAAGGAAAUGCGUUACACACAGAAGAACCUGGUGUCUUCCUGAAAUGAGCUGUUCAAGAGAUCCAGCUAACAGGUGUUCCUUGAAAAAGGCCUCCUAAGCUUUUGGAAACAAGGGGACCGGGAGCAUUUGACUUUAAUCAUACAGCGAAAGCAUAUUCAUUUUCACAGCAGGAUGGCAGGCUGCCUGGGCCAAAAAAACAAAGUACCGCAGGGAGGCGUGUGUUUUCACAGGCGCGGUUACAGCAGGACCAAAUAA
Molecule: long non-coding RNA, 799 nt
Organism: Alligator sinensis (Chinese alligator)
Lineage: Eukaryota; Metazoa; Chordata; Crocodylia; Alligatoridae
Exons: 3
Source: RefSeq, a predicted model, not a curated record